RNAcentral lists this ribosomal RNA (664 nucleotides) under Vibrio alginolyticus. RNAcentral's name for it is "partial 23S ribosomal RNA". It matches the Rfam family "Bacterial large subunit ribosomal RNA", at positions 2259 to 2917 of the family's 2925-position model. The record is from RNAcentral. Lineage: Bacteria; Pseudomonadati; Pseudomonadota; Gammaproteobacteria; Vibrionales; Vibrionaceae.
UGGUGGGUAGUUUGACUGGGGCGGUCUCCUCCCAAAGCGUAACGGAGGAGCACGAAGGUGGGCUAAUCACGGUUGGACAUCGUGAGGUUAGUGCAAUGGCAUAAGCCCGCUUGACUGCGAGAAUGACAAUUCGAGCAGGUGCGAAAGCAGGUCAUAGUGAUCCGGUGGUUCUGAAUGGAAGGGCCAUCGCUCAACGGAUAAAAGGUACUCCGGGGAUAACAGGCUGAUACCGCCCAAGAGUUCAUAUCGACGGCGGUGUUUGGCACCUCGAUGUCGGCUCAUCACAUCCUGGGGCUGAAGUCGGUCCCAAGGGUAUGGCUGUUCGCCAUUUAAAGUGGUACGCGAGCUGGGUUUAGAACGUCGUGAGACAGUUCGGUCCCUAUCUGCCGUGGGCGUUGGAGAAUUGAAAGGGGCUGCUCCUAGUACGAGAGGACCGGAGUGGACGAACCUCUGGUGUUCGGGUUGUGUCGCCAGACGCAUUGCCCGGUAGCUAAGUUCGGGAUCGAUAACCGCUGAAAGCAUCUAAGCGGGAAGCGAGCCUUGAGAUGAGUUCUCCCUGAUACUUUAAGUAUCCUAAAGGGUUGUCGUAGACUACGACGUUGAUAGGCAGGGUGUGUAAGCGUUGUGAGGCGUUGAGCUAACCUGUACUAAUUGCCCGUGAGGC